This 18-nucleotide microRNA is filed under the name Callorhinchus milii (elephant shark). Its description in RNAcentral is "eshark_NOVEL_154". The record is from RNAcentral. Lineage: Eukaryota; Metazoa; Chordata; Chondrichthyes; Chimaeriformes; Callorhinchidae.
UGUUGGUCGGGCUGGCGG